AUUGAACGCUGGCGGCAGGCUUAACACAUGCAAGUCGAACGAUGAAGUCUAGCUUGCUAGACGGAUUAGUGGCGAACGGGUGAGUAAUGCUUAGGAAUCUGCCUAUUAGUGGGGGAUAACGUAGGGAAACUUACGCUAAUACCGCAUACGACCUACGGGUGAAAGGGGGCUUUUAGCUCUCGCUAAUAGAUGAGCCUAAGUCGGAUUAGCUGGUUGGUGGGGUAAAGGCCUACCAAGGCGACGAUCUGUAGCUGGUCUGAGAGGAUGAUCGGCCACACUGGGACUGAGACACGGCCCAGACUCCUACGGGAGGCAGCAGUGGGGAAUAUUGGACAAUGGGCGAAAGCCUGAUCCAGCCAUGCCGCGUGUGUGAAGAAGGCCUUUUGGUUGUAAAGCACUUUAAGUGGGGAGGAAAAGCUUAUGGUUAAUACCCAUAAGCCCUGACGUUACCCACAGAAUAAGCACCGGCUAACUCUGUGCCAGCAGCCGCGGUAAUACAGAGGGUGCAAGCGUUAAUCGGAAUUACUGGGCGUAAAGCGCGCGUAGGUGGUUAUUUAAGUCAGAUGUGAAAGCCCCGGGCUUAACCUGGGAACUGCAUCUGAUACUGGAUAACUAGAGUAGGUGAGAGGGGAGUAGAAUUCCAGGUGUAGCGGUGAAAUGCGUAGAGAUCUGGAGGAAUACCGAUGGCGAAGGCAGCUCCCUGGCAUCAUACUGACACUGAGGUGCGAAAGCGUGGGGAGCAAACAGG
Molecule: ribosomal RNA, 748 nt
Filed under: uncultured Moraxella sp.
Lineage: Bacteria; Pseudomonadati; Pseudomonadota; Gammaproteobacteria; Moraxellales; Moraxellaceae
Description: bacterial SSU rRNA
Rfam family: Bacterial small subunit ribosomal RNA
Source: RNAcentral